This is a long non-coding RNA of Miniopterus natalensis, 212 nucleotides long. RefSeq lists it as uncharacterized. Lineage: Eukaryota; Metazoa; Chordata; Mammalia; Chiroptera; Miniopteridae. The record is from RefSeq and is a predicted model, not a curated record.
CUUGAAAUUCACUUAAUUUUCAACUCUGUUAGCUGUGAGAACCUGCUUGACUGCCGGAGGUCGACUUUCUGCUGCUCCAUACAAAAGCUGUUACAGUCCCUGCCUCAGGAAGGGUAGCCUGCUGUGAGAUUGGUCAGUGAUGCCAAUGACUGGUAGAAAGCAACAUCUAAAUAUUAGAAAAGGCAAUGCGAAAAACAAGGUAGCCUGGAAAC